GAUGAACGCUGGCGGCGUGCCUAAUACAUGCAAGUCGAGCGAACAGACGAGGAGCUUGCUCCUCUGACGUUAGCGGCGGACGGGUGAGUAACACGUGGAUAACCUACCUAUAAGACUGGGAUAACUUCGGGAAACCGGAGCUAAUACCGGAUAAUAUAUUGAACCGCAUGGUUCAAUAGUGAAAGACGGUUUUGCUGUCACUUAUAGAUGGAUCCGCGCCGCAUUAGCUAGUUGGUAAGGUAACGGCUUACCAAGGCAACGAUGCGUAGCCGACCUGAGAGAGUGAUAGGCCACACUGGAACGGGGACACGGUCCAGACUCCUACGGGAGGCAGCAGUAGGGAAUCUUCCGCAAUGGGCGAAAGCCUGACGGAGCAACGCCGCGUGAGUGAUGAAGGUCUUCGGAGCGUAAAACUCUGUUAUUAGGGAAGAACAAAUGUGUAAGUAACUAUGCACGUCUUGACGGUACCUAAUCAGAAAGCCACGGCUAACUACGUG
This 497-nucleotide ribosomal RNA is filed under the name uncultured bacterium. RNAcentral describes it as "partial 16S ribosomal RNA". It matches the Rfam family "Bacterial small subunit ribosomal RNA", at positions 28 to 507 of the family's 1533-position model. The record is from RNAcentral.